This is a non-coding RNA of Ceratotherium simum simum (southern white rhinoceros), 144 nucleotides long. The record is from RefSeq and is a predicted model, not a curated record. Lineage: Eukaryota; Metazoa; Chordata; Mammalia; Perissodactyla; Rhinocerotidae.
AGCCCAGCCCUCACCCCCCCAGGUCCCUGCAGGUCUAGAUGGCCCAGAACGUCCAGGGGAAGCCCUGGGUCCUAGCCGGCCGCUGCCAGCAAGUGCCCAGGCCUUUGAGGUCCCAGAGUGGGGAUGCUCUGUGUGCCCAAGCCA